RNAcentral lists this ribosomal RNA (1235 nucleotides) under Bemisia afer. RNAcentral describes it as "16S ribosomal RNA". The stretch from base 1013 to 1171 matches the Rfam family "Archaeal large subunit ribosomal RNA", at positions 2544 to 2703 of the family's 2987-position model. The record is from RNAcentral. Lineage: Eukaryota; Metazoa; Arthropoda; Insecta; Hemiptera; Aleyrodidae.
CUGAUAGAAUGGUCUAAAAGACCUUUGUUCUAAAAAUAUUUUUAUUUAUAAAUAUUAUAUAAACUAUUUUAAAAUAGAAAAAAAAAUUAAAAUUUAACUUUAAAAAAAAUUUAAAUUAAAAAUUUUUACACUAAGCUCUAUUUUUAUAAAAAAGUAUGAAUAUAAUUCUUUACCUUUUGUAUCAGGGAUAAUUAAAAAUCAAAAAUAGAUUUCAUAUCUCGAAAUUUAAACAAAUAAAAAAUAAUAGUCUUAAUAUGUAAAAAUUAAACCAAAAUUAUGUUUAGAUUUUAUAUAAAUCCAACUUUUAAAUAUCUAGUUAUUAAAUAAAUUGAUUUAAUCAAAUAUUACUUUUACAAACUUAUUCGGCUUAGAUUUAAGUUCAUAAGAAAUUUAAAUUUUUAGAAGUCAAGUCCUAAAAGGUGUCAAAUUUUAAAUUUUGAUAAUAUUUAAAUAAGAUUAGAAAUUUUUAAGUAAGUAUAUAAUAAUUUAAAAUAAAGUACAAAAAUUUAACUUAAUAAAAUUGAAUAUUAAUUUAAUUGAAAUUCUAACAACUAAAAAUUACCAAUAAUGAUUAUAUCAAUAUACUAAAAAACUUAGAUUUAACAACUAGGCAAAUGUUGGUCAUUUUCAACUGUUUAUCAAAAACAUAGUUUAAGGAAGUUAAAUCUUAAAUAAAUCCUGCUCAAUGAUUAAAAGUUAAAUAGCUGCAGUAAAUUAACUGUACUAAGGUAGCAUAAUAAAUUGCUUUUUAAUUAAAAGCUAGAAUGAAAGGAACAAUGAAAAAUUAACUUUUUAAUUUUAACAAGUAAAACUUAAUAUUUAAGUGAAAAAUCUUAAAUUUUAUCAAAAGACAAGAAGACCCUUUAGAAUUUUAUAAAAUUAAAAUCUAAAUAUUAAAAAUUUUUAUUAAAUUGGGGAGAUUAAAAAAUAGCUAAAUCUUUUUUUAUUAUUUUAAGAUGCCUAAAAGCAAAGUAAAUUAUCCAAGUUAUGAAUUAAAACAAAUUACCUAAGGGAUAACAGCGUAAAAUUUUUAAAAAGAUCAAAUUAAUAAAAUACAUUACGACCUCGAUGUUGGAUUAAGAAUAGUCCACAAAGCAGAAUUUGUGGGUAUUGGUCUGUUCGACCAUUAAAGUCUUACAUGAUCUGAGUUCAGACCGGCGUAAGCCAGGUCAGUUUAUAUCUUUGAUUAAUUAAAUAUUUUAUAGUACGAAAGGAUUUAAAAUAGUGAAAUUUUC